This is a long non-coding RNA of Varroa destructor (honeybee mite), 714 nucleotides long. RefSeq lists it as uncharacterized. The record is from RefSeq and is a predicted model, not a curated record. NCBI's taxonomy places the organism in Eukaryota, Metazoa, Arthropoda, Arachnida, Mesostigmata, Varroidae.
CUCUUCUUUUUCUGUUUAUCUAAAUAUGUAUACCGGCUCAUCUAAACAGCAUUAUACAUUUCAGCACAAUCGACCAAUAUAGCUUCACUUCGAAACUUGCAUUACAUGUAUAAUAAUGUUAAAAUAUAAAACGAACUGCAACGUUUUUUCUCGUUGUUAUGAAUUUUGUUAGGUUCCCAAUGGGUCCAUCAACACCAUUCAAUGUGUUUGUAUAUAAGCGUCCGUGUGUGCGUGCGCGGGGGCGUCUCCCCCCAAAAGUUCAUGGCGAUAAGCCAGAAUAAUAAACGUGCCCAUAGAAGUACAGACUCUGCGAAUGAUGCUAUGCAGUAAAUUAGCAUUUUAUGGUAGCAGAUAGUGUUAUUACUCCGACUAUCUGCCUGAGCGUGUAACGUCGGCGGUCUCCUACCUAAAUAUGAAAGCUAAUGAUAGUUGGAGCCCAUAAAGAAUUGUUUAUGAAAAUAGAGAAUUCAAAGAGACACACUUCUUCCGUUUCUCAAUAAUGCGAUGCAACAAUCACUACGAAUAAAAGGCUACAAAUCUAGAUAUUGCACGGCAUAUAAAAUUCUAAUGUAUCAUUGCUAUACUGAUAAUUGUAUAAUAAAUGCCGGGCGACGCUAGCUCGUUGGAGCGUAGAGGAAAGCAUACGUGCGAGUUAGUAUUCUAACUUCAAAAGCAAAGACGGCGGUCAAAUCAGGAGAGUUGCGCGCCCGAGCA